This is a microRNA precursor of Taeniopygia guttata (zebra finch), 81 nucleotides long. NCBI's taxonomy places the organism in Eukaryota, Metazoa, Chordata, Aves, Passeriformes, Estrildidae. The record is from Ensembl.
AAGUAGGAAUAAGUAGGAAACCAGGCUUUAUUAGUUUAUAAUCAGAACUAAUAAAGCCUGGUUUCCUAUUUAUUCCCACUU